UGCGUAGGCGGUGCGGUAAGUCUUUUGUGAAAUCUCCGGGCUCAACUCGGAGUCUGCAGGAGAAACUGCCGUGCUAGAGUAUGGGAGAGGUGAGUGGAAUUCCUGGUGUAGCGGUGAAAUGCGUAGAUAUCAGGAGGAACACCUGUGGCGAAAGCGGCUCACUGGACCAUAACUGACGCUGAGGCACGAAAGCUAGGGGAGCAAACAGGAUUAGAUACCCUGGUAGUCCUAGCCCUAAACGAUGAUUGCUUGGUGUAGCAGGUACCCAAUCCUGCUGUGCCGCAGCUAACGCGUUAAGCAAUCCGCCUGGGGAGUACGGUCGCAAGGCUAGAA
This 333-nucleotide ribosomal RNA is filed under the name uncultured bacterium. Its description in RNAcentral is "bacterial SSU rRNA". It matches the Rfam family "Bacterial small subunit ribosomal RNA", at positions 568 to 899 of the family's 1533-position model. The record is from RNAcentral.